This 433-nucleotide ribosomal RNA is filed under the name uncultured bacterium. RNAcentral describes it as "partial 16S ribosomal RNA". It matches the Rfam family "Bacterial small subunit ribosomal RNA", at positions 29 to 507 of the family's 1533-position model. The record is from RNAcentral.
AACGAACGCUGGCGGCAUGCCUAACACAUGCAAGUCGAACGAGACCUUCGGGUCUAGUGGCGCACGGGUGCGUAACGCGUGGGAACCUGCCCUUAGGUUCGGAAUAACUCCCCGAAAGGGGUGCUAAUACCGGAUAAUGUCUUCGGACCAAAGAUUUAUCGCCUUUGGAUGGGCCCGCGUUGGAUUAGCUAGUUGGUAGGGUAAAAGCCUACCAAGGCGACGAUCCAUAGCUGGUCUGAGAGGAUGAUCAGCCACACUGGGACUGAGACACGGCCCAGACUCCUACGGGAGGCAGGAGUGGGGAAUAUUGGAGAAUGAGCGAAAGUGUGGUCACGCAACGCCGCGUGAGUGAUGCAGGCCUUAGGGUUGUAAAGCUCUUUUAGCCGGGAUGAUAAUGACAGUACCGGGAGAAUAAGCACCGGCUAACUACGUG